This 253-nucleotide ribosomal RNA is filed under the name uncultured bacterium. RNAcentral describes it as "partial 16S ribosomal RNA". It matches the Rfam family "Bacterial small subunit ribosomal RNA", at positions 524 to 776 of the family's 1533-position model. RNAcentral also lists the same sequence under 1 other name. The record is from RNAcentral.
CACGUAGGAAGCGAGCGUUAUCCGGAUUUACUGGGCGUAAAGCGCGUGCAGGCGGUUUUACAAGUUGGAUGUGAAAGCUCCCGGCUUAACUGGGAGAGGUCGUUCAAGACUGUGAGACUGGAGUGCGAAAGAGGGAGGUAGAAUUCCGAGUGUAGUGGUGAAAUGCGUAGAUAUUCGGAGGAAUACCAGAGGCGAAGGCGGCCUCCUGGUUCGCAACUGACGCUGAGACGCGAAAGCCAGGGUAGCAAACGGG